RNAcentral lists this ribosomal RNA (455 nucleotides) under Eimeria cylindrica. RNAcentral's name for it is "SSU rRNA". It matches the Rfam family "Eukaryotic small subunit ribosomal RNA", at positions 623 to 1083 of the family's 1831-position model. The record is from RNAcentral. Lineage: Eukaryota; Apicomplexa; Conoidasida; Eucoccidiorida; Eimeriidae.
AAAGCUCGUAGUUGGAUUUCUGCUGUGGUCAUCCGGUACCGCCCGUAUGGGUGCGCACCUGGUUUGGCUGCGGCUUUCUUCCUGUAGCCGUCCGCGCUUAAUUGCGUGCGUUGUGUUGCGGAACUUUUACUUUGAGAAAAAUAGAGUGUUUCAAGCAGGCUUGUCGCCCUGAAUACUUCAGCAUGGAAUAAUAGGAUAGGACCUUGGUUCUAUUUUGUUGGUUUCUAGGACCAAGGUAAUGAUUAAUAGGGACAGUUGGGGGCAUUCGUAUUUAACUGUCAGAGGUGAAAUUCUUAGAUUUGUUAAAGACGAACUACUGCGAAAGCAUUUGCCAAGGAUGUUUUCAUUAAUCAAGAACGACAGUAGGGGGUUUGAAGACGAUUAGAUACCGUCGUAAUCUCUACCAUAAACUAUGCCGACUAGAGAUAGGGAAAUGCCUACCUUGGCUUCUCCUG